This 63-nucleotide transfer RNA is filed under the name human gut metagenome. It matches the Rfam family "tRNA", at positions 6 to 65 of the family's 71-position model. Rfam says of the family: Transfer RNA (tRNA) molecules are approximately 80 nucleotides in length. Their secondary structure includes four short double-helical elements and three loops (D, anti-codon, and T loops). Further hydrogen bonds mediate the characteristic L-shaped molecular structure. tRNAs have two regions of fundamental functional importance: the anti-codon, which is responsible for specific mRNA codon recognition, and the 3' end, to which the tRNAs corresponding amino acid is attached (by aminoacyl-tRNA synthetases). tRNAs cope with the degeneracy of the genetic code in two manners: having more than one tRNA (with a specific anti-codon) for a particular amino acid; and 'wobble' base-pairing, i.e. permitting non-standard base-pairing at the 3rd anti-codon position. RNAcentral also lists the same sequence under 2 other names. The record is from RNAcentral.
CCGUGGCUCAGUUGGUAGAGCGGCGCAUUCGUAAUGCGUAGGUCAGGGGUUCGAGUCCCCUCG